GGGUUCACCUGAUAGAGUCGAGGAUGUGUGUAGUCUACAUGUGAGGGUUCACCUGAUAGAGAGAAGGACUGGAGCACACAGCAAUACGAAUAUUAGUGUGGAGUGAUAACAUUACUAGUUGUGAGAGUCUCCUUUUCCCCGGCUGAGCUGAGAUGGACGUGCGUCUGACCCGUUCCACUGGGGGAGAACCCAGAGGAGUAUCAGCUAAGGAUCAUGGGAGAUAGAAUCCGGAGACAAGUGCUGACUUCCUACAAAGAGGAGCUGGUCAGAGCUGCACAGAGUACUCCUGUGUUUCAGAGACCUACAGUGGGUCCCCUUCAUAGGUCAAGAACACUCAACUGAACUAUUCUGAUGUAUGUAGAUGGAAGGGCUUUGGUGAUGGAUCAUGUAUCGUGAUGCAAUUAUAAAACUUUAAUUAUGAAUCAUUUGGAAACAUUUUUUUAUUUUACUAGGCAUAAGUCUAUCUCUUAUGUAUUACUUUGCAAAACAAUGUUUGCUCAUUAGGUCUACU
Long non-coding RNA from Oncorhynchus gorbuscha (pink salmon), 511 nucleotides. RefSeq lists it as uncharacterized. The record is from RefSeq and is a predicted model, not a curated record. The transcript is spliced from 4 exons. Lineage: Eukaryota; Metazoa; Chordata; Actinopteri; Salmoniformes; Salmonidae.